Camelus ferus (Wild Bactrian camel) is the source of this 72-nucleotide transfer RNA. It matches the Rfam family "tRNA". From Rfam's summary of the family: Transfer RNA (tRNA) molecules are approximately 80 nucleotides in length. Their secondary structure includes four short double-helical elements and three loops (D, anti-codon, and T loops). The record is from Rfam. NCBI's taxonomy places the organism in Eukaryota, Metazoa, Chordata, Mammalia, Artiodactyla, Camelidae.
GAGGGUGUAGCUCAGUGGUAGAGUGUGUGCUCAGCGUGCCCAAGGUCCUGGGUUCAAUCCCCAGCACCUCCA